UACGUAGGGCGCGAGCGUUGUCCGGAAUUAUUGGGCGUAAAGAGUUCGUAGGCGGCCUGUUGCGUCCGCUGUGAAAUCCCAGGGCUCAACCCUGGGCGUGCAGUGGAUACGGGCAGGCUGGAGGCAGGCAGGGGAGAACGGAAUUCCCGGUGUAGCGGUGAAAUGCGCAGAUAUCUGGAGGAACACCGGUGGCGAAGGCGGCAUCCUGGACCGACACUGACGCUGAGGAGCGAAAGCCAGGGGAGCAAACGGG
Molecule: ribosomal RNA, 253 nt
Filed under: uncultured bacterium
Lineage: Bacteria
Description: partial 16S ribosomal RNA
Rfam family: Bacterial small subunit ribosomal RNA
Source: RNAcentral